This 496-nucleotide ribosomal RNA is filed under the name uncultured soil bacterium. RNAcentral's name for it is "bacterial SSU rRNA". It matches the Rfam family "Bacterial small subunit ribosomal RNA", at positions 26 to 520 of the family's 1533-position model. The record is from RNAcentral.
AGGACGAACGCUGGCGGCGUGCUUAACACAUGCAAGUCGAACGAUGAAGGAGGAGCUUGCUCCUCUGGAUUAGUGGCGAACGGGUGAGUAACACGUGAGCAAUGUGCCCUUGACUCUGGAAUAAGCGCUGGAAACGGCGUCUAAUACCGGAUAUGACCUCCUAUCGCAUGGUGGGUGGUGGAAAGAUUUUAUCGGUGCAGGAUGGGCCCGCGGCCUAUCAGCUUGUUGGUGGGGUAAUGGCCUACCAAGGCGACGACGGGUAGCCGACCUGAGAGGGUGACCGGCCACGACUGGGACUGAGACACGGCCCAGACUCCUACGGGAGGCAGCAGUGGGAAUAUUGCACGAAUGGGCGAAAGCCUAGAUGCAGCGACGCCGCGUGAGGGAUGACGGCCUUUCGGUUGUAAACCUCUUUCAGCGAGGGACCCGAAGGCGACAAGUGACGGUACCUGACAGAAGAACGCACCGGACUAACGUACGUGCCAGCCAAGUCCGA